RNAcentral lists this long non-coding RNA (241 nucleotides) under Nicotiana tabacum (common tobacco). RNAcentral describes it as "long non-coding RNA (NTAB_LNC018460)". The record is from RNAcentral. Lineage: Eukaryota; Viridiplantae; Streptophyta; Magnoliopsida; Solanales; Solanaceae.
UAUUUUACCCAUAGGAGAGAUAUUUCCUCCUAAGUUUAGUUUUACCCAUAGGAGAGGCAUUUCCUCCUAAGUUAGUAUUGAAGUUGGGAGCCCGCCCAUAUAACAGAGGCAUACAUUUCUGUCCUUUCAUUUCAUGUUCUAGGUCGCCCACCAGUAUAAUGUGGGAAUACAUUGUUCUAGGUCGCCCACCAGUAAAAUGCGGGAAUACUUUCUGUUCUAGGUCACCCGCCAGUAAAAUGCG